GGGAUAACCUAAUAGUUCUGCUUUCAGAAACAGGUUCCUAAGGCUGAGCCAGUCAGGGAAAAGAACGUUCUGUGAUCAUUUUCAUCAAGAAUAUGGCUAGGCCGGGUGUGGUGGCUCACGCCUGUAAUCCCAGUACUUUGGGAGCCUGAGGCAGAUGGAUCACUUUAGGUCAGGAGUUCAAAACCAGCCUGGCCAACAUGGUGAAACCUUGUCUCUACUAAAAAUACAAAAAAAAUUCCUGUAAUCCCAACUACUGGGGAAGCUGAGGCAGGAGAAUCACUUGAACCCAGGAGGUGGAAGUUGCAGUGAGCUGAGACAGUGCCAUUGCACACCAGGCUGGGUGAGAAAGUGAGACUGCAUCACAAAAAAACGAACAAAUAAAACAGCAGGCAAUUUGGGCUUGAGUCUUACGGUUCUUUUAACUUACAGGUUGUGAGAAGAUCUGAAGCUGUUACCAUGACACUGAGUCCCGUUAUGCCAAAGGAUGAGUGCUCUCCCACAGGGCAGCUCCCCAGAUGAUGUGAGACCUACUGAUGAUUCCAUUGGUUUCUGCCAGGUGGUACACACCCCAUUCCCAGUCUGCCAGUCAUCAUUAUGCAAUGGCUGUUUCCUUUUGGCUAGUUGGUCCCCUUCUAAGAAAAAAUAUCUCUGGACUCAAGAUGGCGCUGUGAGAACAACCCAGGAUUGGAGCCCGCGUUGAAUUCGCAAACGGGACAUGGAACUACUCAUAGAAAACUAAAAUAAAAGCUAAAUCUAUUUUGAUGAUAUCUAUGGCAGGAGAGGAGACUGAU
This 791-nucleotide long non-coding RNA is filed under the name Callithrix jacchus (white-tufted-ear marmoset). RNAcentral's name for it is "lncRNA (ENSCJAG00000075863.1)". Lineage: Eukaryota; Metazoa; Chordata; Mammalia; Primates; Cebidae. The record is from RNAcentral.